GCGGAAGUAGCUCAGUUGGUAGAGCACAACCUUGCCAAGGUUGGGGUCGCGAGUUCGAGUCUCGUUUUCCGCUC
RNAcentral lists this transfer RNA (74 nucleotides) under Bacteroidia bacterium. RNAcentral's name for it is "tRNA-Gly". It matches the Rfam family "tRNA". From Rfam's summary of the family: Transfer RNA (tRNA) molecules are approximately 80 nucleotides in length. Their secondary structure includes four short double-helical elements and three loops (D, anti-codon, and T loops). Lineage: Bacteria; Pseudomonadati; Bacteroidota; Bacteroidia. RNAcentral also lists the same sequence under 2 other names. The record is from RNAcentral.